Molecule: long non-coding RNA, 319 nt
Filed under: Lathyrus oleraceus (garden pea)
Lineage: Eukaryota; Viridiplantae; Streptophyta; Magnoliopsida; Fabales; Fabaceae
Description: Pisum sativum (pea) long non-coding RNA (PSAT_LNC014664)
Source: RNAcentral
ACCUUCAUGGUUCAUACCCCUUUUCUUGGUUUUGACACCACUUUUAUCUUUCUGUUCUUGGUUAUGACACCACAUUUUGGGUUAAUCAGCUUCAUGGUUCACACCCAUUUUAUUGGUUUUGACACCACUUUUAUCUUUCUUUUCUUGGUUAUGACACCAUAAUUUGGGUUAAUCACCUUCAUGGUUAACACCUCUUUCCCUGUUUUGACAUCAUUUCUCUACCUCUUUUUUGCCUAGGUUUAAACACCGUUUCAGUCAGUUUCUAGUCUUUUCCAGUUUAAACACCACCUUCGAUCAUAUAUUUCUUCCAGUCUUAGUC